GUAACGGCGAGUGAAGCGGCAAUAGCUCGGUUCUCAGGUGNCGCUCGCGUCGGAGUUGACGUUGUAUAGGACGAUUUUUCUGCGGAUGCUGGCGAGUUACUUGGAACAGGACGCCUUNNUGGUUACCGNNCCGUUUCCCUGGAGAACGAGCCUCUGUAAAUCUCCUUCGACGAGUCGAGUAGUUUGGGAAUGCUGCUCUAAAUGGGAGGUAAAUUUCUUCUAAAGCUAAAUACCGGCCAGAGACCGAUAGCGCACAAGUAGAGUGAUCGAAAGAUGAAAAGCACUUUGAAAAGAGGGUUAAAUAGCACGUGAAAUUGUUGAAAGGGAAGGAUUUAUGACCAGACUUUUUCUAGGAGAAUCAUCCGGUGUUCUCACCGGUGCACUUCUUUUAGUUUAGGCCAGCAUCGACUUUCGGCGGUGGAUAAAAGCUUUAGGAAUGUGGCUUCUCUCGGGAAGUGUUAUAGCCUAUUGUAUAAUACACUGCUGGGGGUCGAGGUACGCGCUUCUGCAAGGAUGCUGGCGUAAUGGUUAUCAAUCACCCGUCUUGAAACACGGACCAAGGAGUCGAACAUUUGUGCGAGUGUUUGGGUGUUAAACCCUCACGCGUAAUGAAAGUGAACGGAGGUGAGAGCCCUUACGGGUGCAUCAUCGACCGAUCCUGAUGUUUUCGGAUGGAUUUGAGUAAGAGCAUAAAUGUUCGGACCCGAAAGAUGGUGAACUAUGCGUGGAUAGGGUGAAGCCAGAGGAAACUCUGGUGGAGGCUCGCAGCGGUUCUGACGUGCAAAUCGAUCGUCAAAUCUGCGCAUGGGGGCGAAAGACUAAUCGAACCAUCUAGUAGCUGGUUACCGCCGAAGUUU
Molecule: ribosomal RNA, 857 nt
Filed under: Bartalinia pini
Lineage: Eukaryota; Fungi; Ascomycota; Sordariomycetes; Amphisphaeriales; Sporocadaceae
Description: partial large subunit ribosomal RNA
Rfam family: Eukaryotic large subunit ribosomal RNA
Source: RNAcentral